UGGGGAAUUUUGGACAAUGGGCGAAAGCCUGAUCCAACAAUGCCGCGUGUGUGAAGAAGGCCUUCGGGUUGUAAAGCACUUUUGUCCGGAAAGAAAUGGCUCUGGUUAAUACCUGGGGUCGAUGACGGUACCGGAAGAAUAAGGACCGGCUAACUACGUGCCAGCAGCCGCGGUAAUACGUAGGGUCCAAGCGUUAAUCGGAAUUACUGGGCGUAAAGCGUGCGCAGGCGGUUGUGCAAGACCGAUGUGAAAUCCCCGAGCUUAACUUGGGAAUUGCAUUGGUGACUGCACGGCUAGAGUGUGUCAGAGGGGGGUAGAAUUCCACGUGUAGCAGUGAAAUGCGUAGAGAUGUGGAGGAAUACCGAUGGCGAAGGCAGCCCCCUGGGAUAACACUGACGCUCAUGCACGAAAGCGUGGGGAGCAAACAGGAUUAGAUACCCUGGUAGUCCACGCCCUAAACGAUGUCAACUAGUUGUUGGGGAUUCAUUUCCUUAGUAACGUAGCUAACGCGUGAAGUUGACCGCCUGGGGAGUACGGUCGCAAGAUUAAAAGCUC
This 555-nucleotide ribosomal RNA is filed under the name uncultured bacterium. RNAcentral's name for it is "partial 16S ribosomal RNA". It matches the Rfam family "Bacterial small subunit ribosomal RNA", at positions 355 to 902 of the family's 1533-position model. The record is from RNAcentral.